Molecule: long non-coding RNA, 711 nt
Filed under: Populus trichocarpa (black cottonwood)
Lineage: Eukaryota; Viridiplantae; Streptophyta; Magnoliopsida; Malpighiales; Salicaceae
Description: long non-coding RNA (PTRI_LNC003335)
Source: RNAcentral
CUUGCCUUAAGAUUUAUGACUUUAAAAUUAUUAAAUACGAGGACCUAUUUAUUUUAAAAUGACAACAUUUCUAUGAUAAAAACUUCAAUGGUCAAGUUAAUUGGAUAACAUUUGAUAGAUGAAGGACUCAUUUCAAAGUUGUUUUUGUUCGGGGACCUAAUUAAAAAUCAUGUGAUAUUCAGGAGACAAACUUUCCUGAUAAUAAUUAAUAUAGUCUAAAUAACUCUAACAUUAAAAAAACAUACACCGACAAAUCAAGCACACGCAAAAUAAACAUCAAUAUUCAAAAAAGUUGAGACCAAGAUGUAAUUUCUGAAUUUAUAGGGACCAAUCUGUUAAUUUAUUAAGAGAAUAGUGACUGAGCUAUAAUUUACUCACCCGAGGGGAAAAAAAAUCUACAAAAACUUCCCAGAAAAGACAGCAGAUGCGGCCAAGUCGUCGAAGGGAACUAAACUCCAAACUCCUAGCUAUAAAAUCUUUGCAUGUAAAAGGAAAUCAGCCCUUCACCACAAAAAAUAAUAAUAAUAAAAUACUCUAAUAAGUAGUAAUACCCUAGAAAAAAAAGAAAAAAAGAAUAGAGGGAGCCAGAGCAUUCCUUAAAGAGACACAGAACCACCCCAGCCCACCCCUACGAAAAAAAAAAAAAAAAAUCUCAAUCGGAGACUCCAAAAGGGAUAAAAAGGAGCUGGAGAGUGAAAGACCUGUCAAUCA